Molecule: ribosomal RNA, 226 nt
Filed under: uncultured bacterium
Lineage: Bacteria
Description: partial 16S ribosomal RNA
Rfam family: Bacterial small subunit ribosomal RNA
Source: RNAcentral
GAUCCUGGCUCAGGAUGAACGCUAGCUACAGGCUUAACACAUGCAAGUCGAGGGGCAGCAUGGUCUUAGCUUGCUAAGGCCGAUGGCGACCGGCGCACGGGUGAGUAACACGUAUCCAACCUGCCGUCUACUCUUGGACAGCCUUCUGAAAGGAAGAUUAAUACAAGAUGGCAUCAUGAGUCCGCAUGUUCACAUGAUUAAAAUGUAUUCCGGUAGACGAGUGGGG